GACGAACGCUGGCGGCGUGCUUAACACAUGCAAGUCGAACGGAAAGGCCCUGCUUUUGUGGGGUGCUCGAGUGGCGAACGGGUGAGUAACACGUGAGUAACCUGCCCUUGACUUUGGGAUAACUUCAGGAAACUGGGGCUAAUACCGGAUAGGAGCUCCUGCCGCAUGGUGGGGGUUGGAAAGUUUCGGCGGUGGGGGAUGGACUGGCGGCUUAUCAGCUGGUUGGUGGGGUAGUGGCUUACCAAGGCUUUGACGGGUAGCCGGCAUGAGAGGGUGACCAGCCACAUUGGGCCUGAGAUACGGACCAGACUCCUACGGGAGGCAGCAGUGGGGAAUAUUGCCCAAUGGGCGGAAGCCUGAUGCAGCAACGUCGCGUGCGGGAUGACGGCCUUCGGGUUGUAAACCGCUUUCGCCUGUGACGAAGCGUGAGUGACGGUAAUGGGUAAAGAGGCACCGGCUAACUACGUG
RNAcentral lists this ribosomal RNA (468 nucleotides) under uncultured bacterium. Its description in RNAcentral is "partial 16S ribosomal RNA". It matches the Rfam family "Bacterial small subunit ribosomal RNA", at positions 28 to 507 of the family's 1533-position model. The record is from RNAcentral.